This 273-nucleotide ribosomal RNA is filed under the name uncultured bacterium. RNAcentral's name for it is "partial 16S ribosomal RNA". It matches the Rfam family "Bacterial small subunit ribosomal RNA", at positions 523 to 795 of the family's 1533-position model. The record is from RNAcentral.
AUACGGAGGGUGCAAACGUUGUUCGGAAUCACUGGGCGUAAAGGGCGCGCAGGCGGUUUGAUUAGUCAGAUGUGAAAGCCCACGGCUUAACCGUGGAAGUGCAUUUGAAACUGUCAGACUUGAGUACCAGAGGGGGUAGUGGAAUUCCCGGUGUAGAGGUGAAAUUCGUAGAUAUCGGGAGGAAUACCGGUGGCGAAGGCGACUACCUGGCUGGAUACUGACGCUGAGGCGCGAAAGCGUGGGGAGCAAACAAGAUUAGAAACCCUAGUAGUC